RNAcentral lists this ribosomal RNA (1728 nucleotides) under Alepes djedaba (shrimp scad). RNAcentral's name for it is "16S ribosomal RNA". It matches the Rfam family "Bacterial large subunit ribosomal RNA". Lineage: Eukaryota; Metazoa; Chordata; Actinopteri; Carangiformes; Carangidae. The record is from RNAcentral.
CGCCUACUAGCUAGCCCCACUAAUCAAGCUCAACAAACAAAUAUAAAUAAACCCAAAAACACUUAUAACUUAUUAAACAAAACAUUUUUCCUCCUUAGUAUGGGAGACAGAAAAGGAUAACUAAGGGCGCAAUAGAAAAAGUACCGCAAGGGAAAGCUGAAAGAGAGAUGAAAUAGACCAGUGAAGCCAAAAAAAGCAGAGAUUAUUCCUCGUACCUUUUGCAUCAUGAUUUAGCCAGCACCCUCAAGCGAAGUGAACUUCAGUUUGAAACCCCGAAACUGUGUGAGCUACUCCAAGACAGCCUAUUAAUAGGGCAAACCCGUCUCUGUGGCAAAAGAGUGGGAAGAGCUUCGAGUAGGGGUGACAGACCUAUCGAACUCAGUUAUAGCUGGUUGCUCGGGAAUUGGAUAAAAGUUCAGCCUCAUGGCUUCUCCAUUCAUCCACCAGUAAACACCGAAUGAUUAAAAGAAACCCUGAGAGUUAGUCAAAAGGGGUACAGCCCUUUUGAACAAAGACACAACUUUUCUAGGAGGAUAAAGAUCAUAAUUUUUAAGGCGAAAUGUUCCGGUGGGCCUAAAAGCAGCCAUCCUAAUAGAAAGCGUUAAAGCUCGAACAUAUUUAUUAACCUCCCCAUAUCCUGAUAUCCUUAUCUUACUCCCCUAACUGUACCGAGCCUCCCCCAUGUACACAUGGGGGCGACCCUGCUAGAAUGAGUAAUAAGAGAGCCCAACCCUCUCUCCCCGCACAUGUGUAAAUCGGAACGGACCCACCACCGAACAAUAACGGCCCCAAACAAAGAGGGAACAGGACAAACGUAAAAACGCUCAAACUAGAAAAUCGUCCCGACUAUUACCGUUAACCCUACACUGGUGUGCUAACUGGGAAAGACUAAAAGAAAGAGAAGGAACUCGGCAAACUUUUCUAAGCCUCGCCUGUUUACCAAAAACAUCGCCUCUUGCAAAACCAAAGAAUAAGAGGUCCCGCCUGCCCGGUGACUAUAUGUUUAACGGCCGCGGUAUUUUGACCGUGCGAAGGUAGCGUAAUCACUUGUCUUUUAAAUGGAGACCUGUAUGAAUGGCAUAACGAGGGCUUAACUGUCUCCUCUUUCCAGUCAAUGAAAUUGAUCUCCCCGUGCAGAAGCGGGGAUAAACACAUAAGACGAGAAGACCCUAUGGAGCUUUAGACACCAAGACAGAUCAUGUUAAGCACCCCCUGAUAAAGGCCUGAACUUAGUGACCCCCUGUCCUAAUGUCUUCGGUUGGGGCGACCAUGGGGCAACACAAAACCCCCAUGUGGAAUGGGAGAACAACCCCAGUAUAUUAUUUUCCCAUACUCCCAGAAGCAAGAGCCACAACUCUAGCUAACAGAACUUCUGACCUUUCAUGAUCCGGCUUUCGCCGAUCAACGGACCAAGUUACCCUAGGGAUAACAGCGCAAUCCCCUUUUAGAGCCCAUAUCGACAAGGGGGUUUACGACCUCGAUGUUGGAUCAGGACAUCCUAAUGGUGUAGCCGCUAUUAAGGGUUCGUUUGUUCAACGAUUAAAGUCCUACGUGAUCUGAGUUCAGACCGGAGUAAUCCAGGUCAGUUUCUAUCUAUGAAGCUAAUCUUUUCUAGUACGAAAGGACCGAAAAGAAGAGGCCUAUACCUCAGGCAUGCCUCACCCUUACCUAAUGAAGCCAUCUAAAAUAGGCAAGAGGGAGCACCCCUAAUGCCUAAGAGAACGGCAU